CUCUGGUGAUGAGUGCAGUUCAGCACCUUUUCAGAUUCCUGUUGGCCAUUUGUGGAGUCUCACUCUGUAGCCCAAGCUGGAGUGGUGUGAUCUCGACUCACUGCAACCUCCGCCUCCUGGGCUCAAGUGAUUCUCGUGCCUCAGCCUCCUGAGUAGCUGGGACUACAGUUGUCCCUUGGUGUGGGAUUGCUUCCAGUACCUCUGUGUGUAACAAAAGCUGCACCAUUCAAGUCCCACAGUUGCCCUGCGAAACCUCUGUAUAUGAAAAGUUGGCCGUCCAUGUACAUGGGUUUCCCAUCCUGUCACAGAAUUUUCCACACUCCUUGACGGAGGUGCUUAACCCUUAUCCAUCAGCAUUCUCAGACAGCACCUCCGGUUAGGGACAGUAUCUGACCGUCCGACAUCCCUGCAGCCCCCAUGUGUCACACAGACUCAGCCUCAGGUAGAUGGUUUCCGUAGAUGGUGGCUUUCUUUGGACCCUUGACAUCAACCAGUUACUAUUUGACUCUUCUGCAGAACCCCCUGUUGACCCCUGCUUUGAGGUGGCAGAGUUAACACUACUCUUCGUUAUAAGCUCUCGUCUGGGGCAACUCAGAAGAACG
This 602-nucleotide non-coding RNA is filed under the name Pan troglodytes (chimpanzee). Lineage: Eukaryota; Metazoa; Chordata; Mammalia; Primates; Hominidae. The record is from RNAcentral.